RNAcentral lists this ribosomal RNA (228 nucleotides) under uncultured Nitrobacter sp. RNAcentral describes it as "partial 16S ribosomal RNA". It matches the Rfam family "Bacterial small subunit ribosomal RNA", at positions 1259 to 1485 of the family's 1533-position model. Lineage: Bacteria; Pseudomonadati; Pseudomonadota; Alphaproteobacteria; Hyphomicrobiales; Nitrobacteraceae. The record is from RNAcentral.
UACCCCUAGCAAAUCUCAAAAAACCGUCUCAGUUCGGAUUGGGCUCUGCAACUCGAGCCCAUGAAGUUGGAAUCGCUAGUAAUCGUGGAUCAGCAUGCCACGGUGAAUACGUUCCCGGGCCUUGUACACACCGCCCGUCACACCAUGGGAGUUGGUUUUACCUGAAGACGGUGCGCUAACCCGCAAGGGAGGCAGCCGGCCACGGUAGGGUCAGCGACUGGGGUGAAG